Molecule: long non-coding RNA, 329 nt
Organism: Mustela lutreola (European mink)
Lineage: Eukaryota; Metazoa; Chordata; Mammalia; Carnivora; Mustelidae
Exons: 3
Source: RefSeq, a predicted model, not a curated record
AGGACUUUGAGAUGCUUUACAUUUGAGAAGAAGGUUCAGCUCAAGUUUAAACAGCAUCUUGACAGGCUUUGAUUUAUCAAAUAUGUCCUUUACAAUUCCCUAUCGAUGGAUCAAUGAAUCAGUCUCUAGAAGAAGGAAUACCACAUGCAUCAGGUUUUUUUGUUUUGUUUUGCUUUUCUAUAUUCAGUUGAUGGGGGUAUGAAGAACCCAAGAUUUUUUUUUUUCAAACAUAGUUAAGACUCGAGGCAGAAUAUUUUUGUUAUGAUAUCAUCAUGUGUUUGGAUGCACAGUGCAUGGCUUGCUUAUCGUUGCCUCUCUACAUCAGCACA